Molecule: ribosomal RNA, 173 nt
Filed under: uncultured bacterium
Lineage: Bacteria
Description: partial 16S ribosomal RNA
Rfam family: Bacterial small subunit ribosomal RNA
Source: RNAcentral
AGAGUUUGAUCCUGGCUCAGGAUGAACGCUAGCGGGAGGCUUAACACAUGCAAGUCGAGGGGCAGCAUAGGGUAGCAAUACUCUGAUGGCGACCGGCAAACGGGUGAGUAACGCGUAUGUAACCUACCCUGUACAGGGGGAUAACCCGGAGAAAUUCGGACUAAUAUCCCAUA